RNAcentral lists this ribosomal RNA (208 nucleotides) under uncultured Latescibacterota bacterium. Its description in RNAcentral is "uncultured Latescibacteria bacterium partial 16S ribosomal RNA". It matches the Rfam family "Bacterial small subunit ribosomal RNA", at positions 568 to 774 of the family's 1533-position model. Lineage: Bacteria; Pseudomonadati; Candidatus Latescibacterota. The record is from RNAcentral.
CGUGUAGGCGGUCAGGUAAGUGGAAUGUGAAAUGCCCCGGCUCACCCGGGGACCGGCAUCCCAAACUGCCUGGCUUGAGUAUGGGGAGAGGAUGGAGGAAUUCCUGGUGUAGCGGUGAAAUGCGUAGAUAUCAGGAGGAACACCGGUGGCGAAGGCGUCCAUCUGGCCCAAUACUGACGCUGAGGCGCGAAAGCUAGGGGAGCAAACG